RNAcentral lists this ribosomal RNA (1427 nucleotides) under uncultured prokaryote. Its description in RNAcentral is "partial 16S ribosomal RNA". It matches the Rfam family "Bacterial small subunit ribosomal RNA". The record is from RNAcentral.
GCAAGUCGAACGAGAAAGCACUUCGGUUCGUGAGAAGAGUGGCGCACGGGCGAGUAAUACGUGGGUAAUCUACCCUUGAAUUUGGGGUAACAUCGCGAAAGUGGUGCUAAUACCGGAUAAUAUCUAAAUUGCUUAUGGUGUUUAGAUCAAAGAUGGCCUCUUCUUGAAAGCUAUCGUUUGAGGAUGAGCCCACGCACCAUUAGCUAGUUGGUAGGGUAAAGGCCUACCAAGGCUUCGAUGGUUAGCUGGUCUGAGAGGAUGAUCAGCCACACUGGAACUGACACACGGUCCAGACUCCUACGGGAGGCAGCAGUGAGGAAUUUUGCGCAAUGGGGGAAACCCUGACGCAGCAACGCCGCGUGAGUGAUGAAGGCUUUUGGGUCGUAAAGCUCUGUCAGCAGGGAAGAAAUCGUUUAUAGCUAAUAUCCAUUCCGCUUGACGGUAUCUCUAAAGGAAGCACCGGCUAACUACGUGCCAGCAGCCGCGGUAAUACGUAGGGUGCAAGCGUUGUUCGGAAUUAUUGGGCGUAAAGCGCGUGUAGGUUGCUAUGCAAGUCGGGUGUGAAAUCCCUCGGCUCAACCGAGGAAGUGCAUCCGAAACUACAUAGCUAGAGGAUGGUAGAGGGAGGUGGAAUUCCUAGUGUAGAGGUGAAAUUCGUAGAUAUUAGGAGGAAUACCGGUGGCGAAGGCGGCCUCCUGGGCCGUUCCUGACACUGAGACGCGAAAGCGUGGGUAGCAAACAGGAUUAGAUACCCUGGUAGUCCACGCCGUAAACGAUGGGUACUAGGUGUUGCGGGUAUUGACCCCUGCAGUGCCGCAGCUAACGCAUUAAGUACCCCGCCUGGGAAGUACGGUCGCAAGAUUAAAACUCAAAGGAAUUGACGGGGGCCCGCACAAGCGGUGGAGCAUGUGGUUUAAUUCGACGCAACGCGAAGAACCUUACCUGCUUGUGACAUCCCGACAUUCUGUGGAAACAUGGAAGUCAGCUCGGCUGGAUCGGUGACAGGUGCUGCAUGGCUGUCGUCAGCUCGUGUCGUGAGAUGUUGGGUUAAGUCCCGCAACGAGCGCAACCCUUGUCCUUAGUUGCCAUCAUUUAGUUGGGCACUCUAGGGAGACUGCCGGUGUUAAACCGGAGGAAGGUGGGGAUGACGUCAAGUCCUCAUGGCCCUUAUGUCCAGGGCUACACACGUGCUACAAUGGCCGGUACAAAGGGCUGCAAAGCCGCGAGGUGGAGCAAAUCCCAGAAAGCCGGUCUCAGUUCGGAUUGGAGUCUGCAACUCGACUCCAUGAAGUUGGAAUCGCUAGUAAUCGCGUAUCAGCAUGACGCGGUGAAUACGUUCCCGGGCCUUGUACACACCGCCCGUCACACCACGGGAGUCUAUUGUACCGGAAACCGGUGGGCUAACCUUCGGGAGGAAGGCGCCCAAG